GAUUGCAGUCUGCAACUCGAGUGCAUGAAGCUGGAAUCGCUAGUAAUCGCGAAUCAGAAUGUCGCGGUGAAUACGUUCCCGGGUCUUGUACACACCGCCCGUCACACCAUGGGAGCCGACAACGCCCGAAGUCAGUGACCUAACCGAGAGGGAGGAGCUGCCGAAGGCGGGGUUGGUAACUGGGGUGAAGUCGUAACAAGGUACC
This 205-nucleotide ribosomal RNA is filed under the name uncultured bacterium. RNAcentral describes it as "partial 16S ribosomal RNA". It matches the Rfam family "Bacterial small subunit ribosomal RNA", at positions 1296 to 1500 of the family's 1533-position model. The record is from RNAcentral.